CGAGGGGGGCGAUGUCUGUGCCCCCUGCUCGGCCAGCGCUUGUAGGUGGCCCGGAUGGAGGCCAAAGACAUGGUUCUCGCUGCGUGACCUUGAGCGGGCCGCUCCAUCUCCCCGGGGCGGCUCUCUCUGAAAUGCGGCUGCCCUCUCUACUCUCGGGCCCUGUGAGAGCUCUGACCUGGGCCGCUCCCAGCCUCGGAGGAGGCCGCUGGGGAUAACGAGAGGCGUCGGCCUGGGAGUCGGGAGAACGAGGGGCUUCCGUGCCCACCGAUCGCUGGGGUCUGCGUGGCCUUGGGACCUUAGGGUGCUCGAGGCUGCCCCUGCUCAGCGAGUCCCCGGGUCAUUGUUACCGCCCUUUCACAGAGGCGGAUCCAGAGUCUCCCCUCCGUCCCCUCCCUCCCCUGACCAGGAACUCCAAACCAAGAAGAGCUCCACCCUCCUGCAAGUGUCCAUAGCCAGCAGCAUCCCUGCCUCGCUGCUUCUGUACUCGUUUCUUCUGGGUGCUGGUUUCUUCUCGCCCAUGGUCACAACUCAGCAGAUUUCUACUUUAGAGGGAAAUUUAGACUGGAAAAACCUUCAAAUUCCCUUCUAAUCCUAAGAUUCUAAGACUUGAUUCUUUGGAACUGCCAAGAAAUACCUGGAAAUGAAGGCAGAAAGGAAGAAGACUCAAUGCUGCCUAAGUCUUAGGAACUUUGACUCACAUUUUGUACAGGAAUUCUUGCAUUUUAUGGAGUCCCCUACUAUGUACUUAAAAAAAAAAAAAGUUCAGUCCUUGGGAGUAGGCUCAGUUGAAGCCUUCAGUCAGUUAAAAAUAGCAUUUGUUGAUCUUUGUCUAACCUGAUUUAAUGCUGCCCUUCACAACAGAAGUGAACAUUCCUAGCCAUACCACUUUUCUGUUGGCCUUCAGUCUGGCAAAAUGUCAAGAACUAUGUAAGCUCUUGUGACAUCUGCAGCUGAAACAAGAUCCACAACAGCUUUAGGGACCACUAUUUCAGCCUGUGACGGGCCUCAGAACCCAGAGGCUUGUCUAUCGGUUUCAUUGUCUCACCCACAAAAUCCUUGUACAGCACAAAGCAUUCAAACCCAGCCAGCUCAUAGAUCUGAGGCAGCUUGUAGUAGUACAAAGAACACUGGACAAAGAACUUGUCUCAAAACCUCAGAUCUGCCUCUUGCUCAGCCAAUCAGUAAAUAGCAAUUCCUAUGUACCAGACACUGUGCUAAGCGCCCGUGAUAUAAAGGAAAGCAAAAGAUGUCCCUGCCCUCAAGGAGUUCACCAUCAAGUGGAGAAGACAAAAGACUGUGUACAAACAAAAUACAGGAUAAAAUAGAAAUAAAAGGAAGACACUGGAUUAAGAGGGACUGGGAAAAACUACUCAUAUUUUAACUGGGACCUGAAGGAAGCCAGGGGAGUCAGGAAACCCAGGGAAGAAGGUAUAUUCCAGACUAGGAAAAAAGUCAGGGAAAACACCUGGAGUUGGGAGACAAUAUUUUGUUUUAAGAAAUGGGUUCACAGAUUAUAUGGAGAGCUGUGUAAGAAGACUGGAAAGUUGUCUGGGA
This is a long non-coding RNA of Sarcophilus harrisii (Tasmanian devil), 1554 nucleotides long. NCBI's taxonomy places the organism in Eukaryota, Metazoa, Chordata, Mammalia, Dasyuromorphia, Dasyuridae. The record is from Ensembl.